AGAGUUUGAUCAUGGCUCAGAUUGAACGCUGGCGGCAGGCCUAACACAUGCAAGUCGAGCGGUAGAGAGGUGCUUGCACCUCUUGAGAGCGGCGGACGGGUGAGUAAAGCCUAGGAAUCUGCCUGGUAGUGGGGGAUAACGCUCGGAAACGGACGCUAAUACCGCAUACGUCCUACGGGAGAAAGCAGGGGACCUUCGGGCCUUGCGCUAUCAGAUGAGCCUAGGUCGGAUUAGCUAGUUGGUGAGGUAAUGGCUCACCAAGGCGACGAUCCGUAACUGGUCUGAGAGGAUGAUCAGUCACACUGGGACUGAGACACGGUCCAGACUCCUACGGGAGGCAGCAGUGGGGAAUAUUGGACAAUGGGCGAAAGCCUGAUCCAGCCAUGCCGCGUGUGUGAAGAAGGUCUUCGGAUUGUAAAGCACUUUAAGUUGGGAGGAAGGGCAGUAAAUUAAUACUUUGCUGUUUUGACGUUACCGACAGAAUAAGCACCGGCUAACUCUGUGCCAGCAGCCGCGGUAAUACAGAGGGUGCAAGCGUUAAUCGGAAUUACUGGGCGUAAAGCGCGCGUAGGUGGUUAGUUAAGUUGGAUGUGAAAUCCCCGGGCUCAACCUGGGAACUGCAUUCAAAACUGACUGACUAGAGUAUGGUAGAGGGUGGUGGAAUUUUCUGUGUAGCGGUGAAAUGCGU
Molecule: ribosomal RNA, 688 nt
Filed under: uncultured bacterium
Lineage: Bacteria
Description: bacterial SSU rRNA
Rfam family: Bacterial small subunit ribosomal RNA
Source: RNAcentral